ACUUUACAAUGCGGGAAACCGUGAUAAGGGGACACCGAGUGCUAGCAUCAUAUGCUAGCUGUCCAGGCGUGUAAACUACGCCUGUUAGCAAGGGCCGGGCAAGACCGGUGCCAGCCGCCGCGGUAAUACCCGCGGCCCGAGUGGUGGUCGAUAUUAUUGAGCCUAAAACGUCCGUAGCCGGUCUUGUAAAUCCUUGGGUAAAUCGACCAGC
This 211-nucleotide ribosomal RNA is filed under the name uncultured archaeon. RNAcentral's name for it is "partial 16S ribosomal RNA". It matches the Rfam family "Archaeal small subunit ribosomal RNA", at positions 347 to 558 of the family's 1478-position model. The record is from RNAcentral.